UGGGGAAUAUUGCACAAUGGGCGCAAGCCUGAUGCAGCCAUGCCGCGUGUAUGAAGAAGGCCUUCGGGUUGUAAAGUACUUUCAGCGGGGAGGAAGGUGUUGAGGUUAAUAACCUCAGCAAUUGACGUUACCCGCAGAAGAAGCACCGGCUAACUCCGUGCCAGCAGCCGCGGUAAUACGGAGGGGGCAAGCGGUAAUCGGAAUUACUGGGCGUAAAGCGCACGCAGGCGGUCUGUCAAGUCGGAUGUGAAAUCCCCGGGCUCAACCUGGGAACUGCAUUCGAAACUGGCAGGCUAGAGUCUUGUAGAGGGGGGUAGAAUUCCAGGUGUAGCGGUGAAAUGCGUAGAGAUCUGGAGGAAUACCGGUGGCGAAGGCGGCCCCCUGGACAAAGACUGACGCUCAGGUGCGAAAGCGUGGGGAGCAAACA
RNAcentral lists this ribosomal RNA (427 nucleotides) under uncultured bacterium. RNAcentral's name for it is "partial 16S ribosomal RNA". It matches the Rfam family "Bacterial small subunit ribosomal RNA", at positions 355 to 774 of the family's 1533-position model. The record is from RNAcentral.